AGCCCUUGACAUCCCGGUCGCGGUUACCAGAAAUGGUUUCCUUCAGUUCGGCUGGACCGGUGACAGGUGCUGCAUGGCUGUCGUCAGCUCGUGUCGUGAGAUGUUGGGUUAAGUCCCGCAACGAGCGCAACCCUCGCCCUUAGUUGCCAUCAUUCAGUUGGGCACUCUAAGGGGACUGCCGGUGAUAAGCCGAGAGGAAGGUGGGGAUGACGUCAAGUCCUCAUGGCCCUUACGGGCUGGGCUACA
RNAcentral lists this ribosomal RNA (246 nucleotides) under uncultured bacterium. Its description in RNAcentral is "partial 16S ribosomal RNA". It matches the Rfam family "Bacterial small subunit ribosomal RNA", at positions 976 to 1218 of the family's 1533-position model. The record is from RNAcentral.